AGUUGAUUUCCUACUUCAUCUAAUAUAUCAGAACCAUCUAGAUCAAACGGUCUAUACAGGUUAAUCUAGAUACUUCUGAUACAUUAGUUGGAGUAGGAAAUAAUU
Marchantia polymorpha subsp. ruderalis is the source of this 105-nucleotide non-coding RNA. The record is from the annotation of a GenBank genome assembly. Lineage: Eukaryota; Viridiplantae; Streptophyta; Marchantiopsida; Marchantiales; Marchantiaceae.